UUCCCAUGAUAAGCUGACGUCCAUUGAGAGUGACGUAAUAGGUCAUAUAAAAUGGACGUCUCUAAGAUAUGACGUCCUUCGUGGAGACGAUUCCGUAGUGAACGCAUCGCCUCCUCGACAUGAGAGCUAAGUGGCGAAAGAAGCGCAUGCGCAGGCUGAAGCGCAAAAGGAGAAAGAUGAGGCAGAGGUCCAAGUGAACUGUGCGCUCCGUCAUGGCUGUGACGUCACGUCGUCAACUACAUCGCUUGUGAGCACAGCUGGAGACCCAGGACCCUCCCAAAUCAAAUCCGAUACCAGCGGCAUCUACUUCUGCCAGAGGCAGCAGCAGCUGGCUGAUGCUGGAGGAUUGGUUGGAAACCUGCUGGACGAUGGCUUUUCCUCUGGGGCUUUCUGGACUCUUUGUUCUUAACUCCUCAGCUUUUGUCAUAUGUUUUUGUUUAUACUGUGAUUAAAGGUUUUGGUUAAAAAAAGA
This is a long non-coding RNA of Archocentrus centrarchus (flier cichlid), 472 nucleotides long. RefSeq lists it as uncharacterized. NCBI's taxonomy places the organism in Eukaryota, Metazoa, Chordata, Actinopteri, Cichliformes, Cichlidae. The record is from RefSeq and is a predicted model, not a curated record. The transcript is spliced from 4 exons.